Molecule: ribosomal RNA, 233 nt
Filed under: uncultured bacterium
Lineage: Bacteria
Description: partial 16S ribosomal RNA
Rfam family: Bacterial small subunit ribosomal RNA
Source: RNAcentral
UGAGUAACCUGCCCUUGACUCUGGGAUAAGCCUGGGAAACCGGGUCUAAUACUGGAUACGACCUUCUGGCGCAUGCCAUGUUGGUGGAAAGCUUUUGUGGUUUUGGAUGGACUCGCGGCCUAUCAGCUUGUUGGUGGGGUAAUGGCCUACCAAGGCGACGACGGGUAGCCGGCCUGAGAGGGUGACCGGCCACACUGGGACUGAGACACGGCCCAGACUCCUACGGGAGGCAG